CGGGGCGUAGCUCAGUUGGCUAGAGUACCUGCUUUGGGAGCAGGGGGUCGCUGGUUCGAGUCCAGUCGCCCCGACCA
Molecule: transfer RNA, 77 nt
Filed under: Candidatus Peribacteria bacterium
Lineage: Bacteria; Candidatus Peregrinibacteriota; Candidatus Peribacteria
Also listed under: 1 other name
Description: tRNA-Pro
Rfam family: tRNA
About the family: Transfer RNA (tRNA) molecules are approximately 80 nucleotides in length. Their secondary structure includes four short double-helical elements and three loops (D, anti-codon, and T loops).
Source: RNAcentral